This 454-nucleotide ribosomal RNA is filed under the name Osmia ferruginea. Its description in RNAcentral is "partial 12S ribosomal RNA". The record is from RNAcentral. Lineage: Eukaryota; Metazoa; Arthropoda; Insecta; Hymenoptera; Megachilidae.
ACUAGGAUUAGAUACCCUAUUAUAGUAAUUGAGGUUUUUAUUUAAAUAUUAAAUGUAAAGCAUUAAAGUUAUGAGAUAUGGCAGUUAUAUAAAAUUUUAGGGGAACUUGUAGAUUAAUUCGAUAAUCCACGAUAUGAUGUACUAAUAAGAUUUUAAAUGAAUUAUUUUUGUAUUGUUGUUUUUAGAUCUUGUAUAUAUAUUUAGGUUUCAAUUUUAGUGUUGAAUUUUAGUAGAUAUUUAAAAUGAAUUCAAAUCAAAAUAAAGUAUUUAUUAGAUUAUAUGAGUUACAUUAAUUAAAAAUUUUAUAGAUUAAAAAUUUUAAGAUUUUUAAGAAAAAGGAUUUAAAAGUAAAUUUAAUUAUUAGAUUAAAUUGAAUAACUUUUAUAUAGUGUACAAAUUGCCCGUCAAUUUCAGUAAAAUUGAAGUAAGUCGAAACAAAGUAAGAGUAUUGGAA